ACAUCGGCACGUAGCUCUCUGUUACUCUCACAUGGUCGCCCACUGAAGCUAAGCAGGGCUGCGCCCGGUCAGUACCUGGAUGGGAGACCACAUGGGAAAGCUAGGUUGCUGCCGGA
Molecule: non-coding RNA, 116 nt
Organism: Danio rerio (zebrafish)
Lineage: Eukaryota; Metazoa; Chordata; Actinopteri; Cypriniformes; Danionidae
Source: Rfam